Molecule: long non-coding RNA, 2425 nt
Filed under: Bos grunniens (domestic yak)
Lineage: Eukaryota; Metazoa; Chordata; Mammalia; Artiodactyla; Bovidae
Description: lncRNA (ENSBGRG00000005836.1)
Source: RNAcentral
AUGGGGUCACAGAGGAAGCGCAGAGGAAGCACAGGGUCCCCGAGGAGGAGGGGCCUGACGCCCAGCAGCCCAGUGCAGACCAGGGGCACGUCUCUGGGAGCUGAACUUCCGUCUCUAUCACCUUCAGGAACACAGCAGCGACAGCCAUAUCACCAGCCAAGAGAGCCAUUCUCUGACAAGGGAAGAUGUCAACACCACUACAUUGUAAACUUGAAAAUAAAAGAAAGCAAGAAUUUUGAUAUAGUAAGCAUUUCAUUUGAAUUAAAUAUUAAAUGGUAUGAAGCGUGCACACGUGUUUUGUUAUAUGAAAAUAUGGCAUGUUUAAAACAAACCAGCCAACAGAAAGCGGGGCGAGGCUGCAGCGGGACCCGAGCUGCGUGGCGGCUGAGGAGUGUACACACGGCAUUAGUGACUCAUCACCUUGAGCAGAGGCUCGACAAAGUCUCUGUUUAUUCUGCAAACCACGUCAGGAUAACUGCUGCAAGUUAAGAUGCUGAGGAAGCCUCCUGAAGCGUACCUGUGUGUGUGAGCUCGGGGUCCCUGGGAAGCCAGGUGCUUCUGGUCCUCUGGGCAGCCAGGGAAGUGGCAUUCCUGGUCUUACCCAGGUGCCCUCCAUGCCAACCCAAGGCCAGGUUCUUGACUGCACUCGGCUGCCUAAGUCCUGUCAGUUAGAAGGAAAUCCUUGUUUGGUGUCAAACAGCAGUGCACCUGCCUCCAGGGACCACAUCCCACCUCCCUCAUCCCAUCAAGGGCAGAGUGGCCCGAGGGUUGCCCACCUUCCUCACCACAGCCUGGGCACUUGCUGCUUCUACUGACCAGGAGGUUUCCUUCUUGCUCUUUAUUUAGACAGCUUAUCCUCACUCUCUGUGACUCAUCUAAACAUCACCUUAUCACAGAGUUUGCAGAUGACCCUUCAUCCUAUGAUCUGGCAUGAUAUCUUUAUAGCUUUCGUCUCUGUCCAAAAAUCACAUGUAUUUGCUUAAAUGGUUAAUCUCAGGUGCCUCAAUUGGGCUGUGCAUUCUUUAAAGGCAAAGCAUUUUAGUCCCUUAAUGUAGGCACAGCCCACUCUCCUGGGUCUUCAAGGACAAUUUAAAAAAAAUAUAUAUAUAUAUUUUCAGUUCAUACAUAAUAGAAUGACAUUUAUAAACUUGCAGUUUUCCAUGUAACAUAACCAUAAAAGAAUGUAAUGGCAUCUAUAUUUGAUUGUUUUUGUGUGCAUGCGUGCUUUGUAGGGGGAAAUGCAUCUAUCUUUUUACAGACAGCCUUUGAAUCAAGCCCUUCAGUAAAAUUUAUGUAUGUUUUAAUAAUUUCCUUGCUGGUAUAAAUGCUUUGUAUUUGAAAAGUUAUCUGGGGUAUUACAUAAAAGACUUGCUUGACCUUAUGAAGUUAAGUCAUAGUCACUGAAUUUUAGGAAGGAUUAAGGGUUAAGCUUAUAAAAAAUAUUAGAUGUAAGUAAACUUCAUAUUGGCCAACAGCAAGAGGUAGUCUAUGAACGUCAUUAUUUUGAAUUAAGGAUUAAUGUUUAACAUUCCCAAAUUAUGUUUUAAGUGUUUUGUAGGACAGGUUAAAAAAAAGUUUAUUUUCAAUGUUUCUUGAAAUUUCAAAUAAAACUUACAGUUAAAAUGUUAAAAAAAAAAUUUAUGUGCCAUGCCAGGCAUAGUGGCUGGCAUGUAACAGAUAUUCCAUAAAGGCUGUUGAAUAAAUGAAUGGACUUAUGAAGACUGACUUUCCAAGCCCUGGGAAAAAAUCCGGAUUCAUCACUUUUCAUUAUGGGUCAAAACCUAUAUUUCCUUUUCAACUUACUUGCCUGCCUGGAAUUUAAAAAAAAACUCUUUUUUUUUUCCCCUUUAAAUCCCAUUCCUAGACCUGUCACUCCUGGGUUAAACAAGCUCACUUAAUAUUUUUUUUCCCUGUGUGGGCUUUGCUUGGGCCCCAUAGAUGUGCCGUGUAUGUUUUAUGAGCUAACAUUUAUUUUAGACACUUUGGCCCAUUGGACACAAUCCUGUAAGCCUGAACUCUCAGCUGACAUGCUGUUGAACAUAAUGAGGACGUUUAAAAAGGUAUCCCUGAGGACUAGAGCGGAUUGCAGGGCGCCAGAGCCAAGGAGAGUGGGUGGUGGAGCCACAGAAAGCUUUGCGCUCUCUCUGGUGGUCACAGCCCUCUUGCCGCUACCUGUAGUCUCAGGAAGCUGUUCCCAAGCCAGGCGGAGGAUGCAAAACUGCCUAACUGCUGUCCUCGGAAUGCAGCACUCCUGAUAAGGCUGGGAGCCGGAUGGCAGCAUUUCAUAAGCAGAGCUGGACACUCUGAUCUAGGUGAGUGGCAGCUGGGGAGUCUCCGAGUUGUGUGUGGAAUUUUGGAUGGAAUCCAUAGGCCCCAGAAAUUCCAGAACACUCUCUUCCUCGGACAGGGUCCUCAAUAAAAGAAU